RNAcentral lists this ribosomal RNA (253 nucleotides) under uncultured bacterium. RNAcentral describes it as "partial 16S ribosomal RNA". It matches the Rfam family "Bacterial small subunit ribosomal RNA", at positions 524 to 776 of the family's 1533-position model. The record is from RNAcentral.
GACGUAGGGCGCGAGCGUUGUCCGGAUUUAUUGGGCGUAAAGAGCUCGUAGGCGGUUCGUCGCGUCGGCUGUGAAAACCCGGAGCUCAACUCCGGGCCUGCAGUCGAUACGGGCGGACUUGAGUGUUGCAGGGGAGACUGGAAUUCCUGGUGUAGCGGUGAAAUGCGCAGAUAUCAGGAGGAACACCGGUGGCGAAGGCGGGUCUCUGGGCAACUACUGACGCUGAGGAGCGAAAGCGUGGGGAGCGAACAGG